Molecule: ribosomal RNA, 556 nt
Filed under: uncultured bacterium
Lineage: Bacteria
Description: partial 16S ribosomal RNA
Rfam family: Bacterial small subunit ribosomal RNA
Source: RNAcentral
UGGGGAAUAUUGCACAAUGGGCGCAAGCCUGAUGCAGCCAUGCCGCGUGUGUGAAGAAGGCCUUCGGGUUGUAAAGCACUUUCAGCGAGGAGGAAGGUGGUGAACUUAAUACGUUCAUCAAUUGACGUUACUCGCAGAAGAAGCACCGGCUAACUCCGUGCCAGCAGCCGCGGUAAUACGGAGGGUGCAAGCGUUAAUCGGAAUUACUGGGCGUAAAGCGCACGCAGGCGGUUUGUUAAGUCAGAUGUGAAAUCCCCGGGCUCAACCUGGGAACUGCAUUUGAAACUGGCAAGCUAGAGUCUCGUAGAGGGGGGUAGAAUUCCAGGUGUAGCGGUGAAAUGCGUAGAGAUCUGGAGGAAUACCGGUGGCGAAGGCGGCCCCCUGGACGAAGACUGACGCUCAGGUGCGAAAGCGUGGGGCAGCAAACAGGAUUAGAUACCCUGGUAGUCCACGCUGUAAACGAUGUCGAUUUGGAGGUUGUGCCCUUGAGGCGUGGCUUCCGGAGCUAACGCGUUAAAUCGACCGCCUGGGGAGUACGGCCGCAAGGUUAAAACUU